RNAcentral lists this non-coding RNA (108 nucleotides) under Nakamurella panacisegetis. Its description in RNAcentral is "Glycine sequence". It matches the Rfam family "Glycine riboswitch aptamer". From Rfam's summary of the family: This family represents the bacterial glycine riboswitch. Lineage: Bacteria; Bacillati; Actinomycetota; Actinomycetes; Nakamurellales; Nakamurellaceae. The record is from RNAcentral.
AAAGACACCUCUGGAAAGAGGGACGCCGGUUCGGUGUCCCCGCCGAAGGGGCAAGCUCGCGGUGACGCGCAGUGGAAGCUCUCAGGUACCGAUGACAGAGGGGGAGAG